Molecule: ribosomal RNA, 253 nt
Filed under: uncultured bacterium
Lineage: Bacteria
Description: partial 16S ribosomal RNA
Rfam family: Bacterial small subunit ribosomal RNA
Source: RNAcentral
UACGAAGGGGGCUAGCGUUGCUCGGAAUCACUGGGCGUAAAGGGUGCGUAGGCGGGUCUUUAAGUCAGGGGUGAAAUCCUGGAGCUCAACUCCAGAACUGCCUUUGAUACUGAAGAUCUUGAGUUCGGGAGAGGUGAGUGGAACUGCGAGUGUAGAGGUGAAAUUCGUAGAUAUUCGCAAGAACACCAGUGGCGAAGGCGAGUCCCUGGACAACUCCUGACACUGAGGCACGAAAGCUAGGGGAGCAAACAGG